AUCCAGAUGACGAGUUCCAUAUAGGACUUAAUGCGUAUCCUGGAU
Molecule: non-coding RNA, 45 nt
Organism: Trichobilharzia regenti
Lineage: Eukaryota; Metazoa; Platyhelminthes; Trematoda; Strigeidida; Schistosomatidae
Source: Rfam